Molecule: long non-coding RNA, 436 nt
Organism: Eubalaena glacialis (North Atlantic right whale)
Lineage: Eukaryota; Metazoa; Chordata; Mammalia; Artiodactyla; Balaenidae
Exons: 3
Source: RefSeq, a predicted model, not a curated record
UGCUGAGAAAGGCUCCUCACCCACGGCAGUGCUCUCAGUCCUUUAACAGGGGAGUGGAUAAAGAAGAUGUGGUACAUGUACACAAUGGAAUACUACUCAGCCAUAAAAAAGGACGAAAUAAGGCCAUUUGCAGCAACAUGGACGGACCUAGAGAUUGCCAUACUGAGUGAAGCUGGGUGCUCUGGGGAGAGGAGCGAUGGCCAUGGGAGGGGCACCAGGGCCCGACCCCAUCGAAAUGAGGUGGUGGAAGGAGAAACAGUCCCGUGACGGGCACCGUGGGCUUGGUCACCAGAGGCUACAUGAGCUGUGACGACAUCACCCCAGACAACUAACGGGACGUGUGCUGUGUAUCCUGGUGUUUUAAAUUCGUCUUGGUUUUAAUUUCUAAUACAGUGAAUAUGAAUAGAUAUAACCUACAUACACAAAAGCUCUGUGG